Molecule: ribosomal RNA, 468 nt
Filed under: uncultured bacterium
Lineage: Bacteria
Description: partial 16S ribosomal RNA
Rfam family: Bacterial small subunit ribosomal RNA
Source: RNAcentral
GACGAACACUGGCGGCGUGCUUAACACAUGCAAGUCGAACGGAAAGGCCCUGCUUUUGUGGGGUGCUCGAGUGGCGAACGGGUGAGUAACACGUGAGUAACCUGCCCUUGACUUUGGGAUAACUUCAGGAAACUGGGGCUAAUACCGGAUAGGAGCUCCUGCUGCAUGGUGGGGGUUGGAAAGUUUCGGCGGUUGGGGAUGGACUCGCGGCUUAUCAGCUUGUUGGUGGGGUAGUGGCUUACCAAGGCUUUGACGGGUAGCCGGCCUGAGAGGGUGACCGGCCACAUUGGGACUGAGAUACGGCCCAGACUCCUACGGGAGGCAGCAGUGGGGAAUAUUGCACAAUGGGCGAAAGCCUGAUGCAGCAACGCCGCGUGCGGGAUGACGGCCUUCGGGUUGUAAACCGCUUUCGCCUGUGACGAAGCGUGAGUGACGGUAAUGGGUAAAGAAGCACCGGCUAACUACGUG